AAAGUGGAUUAGCGGCGGGCGGGUGAGUAACACGUGAGUAACCUGCCUUAGACAUUGGGAUAGCCUCGGGAAACCGGGAUUAAUACCAAAUAAAAUCAUAAUGACACAUGUCAUAACGAUCAAAACUCCGGUGGUCUAAGAUGGACUCGCGUCCCAUUAGCUAGUUGGUAGAGUAAAAGCCUACCAAGGCGACGAUGGGUAGCCGGCCUGAGAGGGUGAACGGCCACAUUGGAACUGAGAAACGGUCCAA
RNAcentral lists this ribosomal RNA (250 nucleotides) under uncultured Eubacteriales bacterium. Its description in RNAcentral is "uncultured Clostridiales bacterium partial 16S ribosomal RNA". It matches the Rfam family "Bacterial small subunit ribosomal RNA", at positions 84 to 334 of the family's 1533-position model. The record is from RNAcentral. Lineage: Bacteria; Bacillati; Bacillota; Clostridia; Eubacteriales.